Molecule: microRNA, 22 nt
Filed under: Anopheles gambiae (African malaria mosquito)
Lineage: Eukaryota; Metazoa; Arthropoda; Insecta; Diptera; Culicidae
Description: aga-miR-10371-3p
Source: miRBase by way of RNAcentral
UGACAUGUAUUGAGGUAGAAUA